UUCUCCGCCUCGCCCGAGGGCUCGGCUGUAUCUUUUUCCUUGAACUGAGGGUGUAGGUGUAAAACUUGGGGACUUUUCAGCGUUACGUCUGAGGACCCCUAGCACAUCUAUUCCUCUAGUUUGAGGGUCAGAUCAUAAGUUUCUCCCCACCCGACCCUUAUAUCUUGAUCUCCAUCAACUCAAUCGAACCUCCCCACCCUCCUGUAACUUGCCGCAAGUUUCUGGGCUCAAACUUGCAAGUGUUG
Molecule: long non-coding RNA, 245 nt
Filed under: Setaria italica (foxtail millet)
Lineage: Eukaryota; Viridiplantae; Streptophyta; Magnoliopsida; Poales; Poaceae
Description: long non-coding RNA (SITA_LNC000874)
Source: RNAcentral